AGAAUCAACGCUGGCGGCGUGCCUAACACAUGCAAGUCGAACGCGACUGGGGACUUCGGUUCCCAGUUGAGUGGCGAACGGGUGAGUAACACGUGGGUGAUCUACCUUCGAGUGGGGGAUAACGUCCCGAAAGGGACGCUAAUACCGCAUGACGUUCUGGGUUUGAAGACCUGGAAACCAAAGCCGGGGACCGCAAGGCCUGGCGCUUAAAGAGGAGCCCGCGUCCGAUUAGCUAGUUGGUGGGUAACGCUCACCAAGGCAACGAUCAGUA
This 271-nucleotide ribosomal RNA is filed under the name uncultured soil bacterium. RNAcentral's name for it is "partial 16S ribosomal RNA". It matches the Rfam family "Bacterial small subunit ribosomal RNA", at positions 26 to 285 of the family's 1533-position model. The record is from RNAcentral.